CGUCAGACAAGCUGGACUACGCAUUGUGAAAUACGAUCACGCAGAGGCUUGACCAUGUAGAAACGCCCACAUCACCUGCCAUCACGUCAAUGCAACAAGCUUGUCAAAAGCCCGACCAGCGAGAAGCUAGAGGAGCGCAGCGUCACCGAGGGAGACGCUUUUUUGGCAAAGCAAACCAGUGGAAACGCUGCAGCCCAGCCCCACCUUUUAAAAUGAGGACGGGGCGCAAGGGAGCGCGCUGGAAGCUGGAGGAGAUGGGAGCGGUAGGAUGGGAAGCGAGUGGACUAAACUAGAUUGAACUGAACUGGGCAGGCAGAUGUUUUCCAUUGAGUCGUAGGGAGUGUAAGCAAUGUGGAAGAGACGCCUUAGAGAUGCCAGGACACACAACAUGGAAAGGUCAUGACGACGGCUUCCCUUCUCCCUUACAGUCUAACAACAUGAACCGCAAGCUCUUCUUUGAGUUUCAUGGAAAAAUAAGGAGCAUUCACUUGUUUUUUUUCAUAGUCACAUUCACAAACCAUGCUUUAAUUGUAUUGAACCAUCACCUAAUGGGAUGUUUAUGCCUUAAAUCAGUAAUUCUCAAACUGGGGUCCUUGAACCCCCAGGAUUCUCCAAAGCAUAGACAGGUGGGCCGAGAUAAUUUGCAAUAAUUUAUCACAACGUAUUAUUUUGAUAGUGCGUGACCUUUACAGUGGUGGCCCAACACAGGAGUGAUCAAUUUACAGGUUUUUCGACAUACAAACCAUCGUUUGGAUGGUUUUCUGCUUUGACCUGAGAGCAAAAUAAUGGAAUACACUGUAGCACUGCAUGGUGGUAGUAAACUCAACUCACUUCACAACCAGUAGCAACUUAAGUUAGUGAGCGAUUCUUCACAAAAAGCUUCGAGCUGUUUCAUGCCACUCCAAGAUGAAGACUAUUGUCAAACUAAACAUAAAAUAAAGAAAAUGUCAUGUUGUGUGGUUGGUUUUGGUGUGCCCUGCAACCCUUGAAGCAAUGAAUAUUUGAGAACAAAAACAGUGGCAAAGCACAUGAAAACAGACACUAAAACAAA
Long non-coding RNA from Syngnathoides biaculeatus (alligator pipefish), 1051 nucleotides. RefSeq lists it as uncharacterized. NCBI's taxonomy places the organism in Eukaryota, Metazoa, Chordata, Actinopteri, Syngnathiformes, Syngnathidae. The transcript has 3 exons. The record is from RefSeq and is a predicted model, not a curated record.